UACGUAGGGGGCGAGCGUUGUCCGGAUUCAUUGGGCGUAAAGCGCUUUAAGGCGGUUCGGUAAGUCGGGUGUGAAACCUCCAGGCUCAACCUGGAGACGCCACUCGAUACUGCUGUGACUAGAGUUCGGUAGGGGAUCACGGAAUUCCUGGUGUAGCGGUGAAAUGCGCAGAUAUCAGGAGGAACACCGGUGGCGAAGGCGGCCAUCUGGCUCAACAUUGACGCUGAGGCACGAAAGCGUGGGGAGCAAACAGG
RNAcentral lists this ribosomal RNA (254 nucleotides) under uncultured bacterium. Its description in RNAcentral is "partial 16S ribosomal RNA". It matches the Rfam family "Bacterial small subunit ribosomal RNA", at positions 524 to 776 of the family's 1533-position model. The record is from RNAcentral.